Molecule: ribosomal RNA, 468 nt
Filed under: uncultured bacterium
Lineage: Bacteria
Description: partial 16S ribosomal RNA
Rfam family: Bacterial small subunit ribosomal RNA
Source: RNAcentral
GACGAACGCUGGCGGCGUGCUUAACACAUGCAAGUCGAACGGAAAGGCCCUGCUCUUGUGGGGUGCUCGAGUGGCGAACGGGGGAGUAACACGUGAGUAACCUGCCCUUGACUUUGGGAUAACUUCAGGAAACUGGGGCUAAUACCGGAUAGGAGCUCCUGCUGCAUGGUGGUGGUUGGAAAGAUUCGGCGGUUGGGGAUGGACUCGCGGCUUAUCAGCUUGUUGGGGGGGUAGUGGCUUACCAAGGCUUUGACGGGUAGCCGGCCUGAGAGGGUGACCGGCCACAUGGGGACUGAGAUACGGCCCAGACGCCUACGGGAGGCAGCAGUGGGGAAUAUUGCACAAUGGGCGGAAGCCUGAUGCAGCAACGCCGCGUGCGGGAUGACGGCCUUCGGGUUGUAAACCGCUUUCGCCUGUGACGAAGCGUGAGUGACGGUAAUGGGUAAAGAAGCACCGGCUAACUACGUG